GAAGGUACAGCUCAGGAGUAGAGGACAUGCCUAGCACGCAUGAGGCCCUGGGUUCAACCCCCAGUGCCUCA
RNAcentral lists this transfer RNA (71 nucleotides) under Camelus bactrianus (Bactrian camel). It matches the Rfam family "tRNA". Rfam says of the family: Transfer RNA (tRNA) molecules are approximately 80 nucleotides in length. Their secondary structure includes four short double-helical elements and three loops (D, anti-codon, and T loops). Lineage: Eukaryota; Metazoa; Chordata; Mammalia; Artiodactyla; Camelidae. The record is from Rfam by way of RNAcentral. RNAcentral also lists the same sequence under 2 other names.